This is a non-coding RNA of Paramuricea clavata, 502 nucleotides long. The record is from the annotation of a GenBank genome assembly. Lineage: Eukaryota; Metazoa; Cnidaria; Anthozoa; Malacalcyonacea; Plexauridae.
CAUGGAUUGAUGGCAAGCCGGUUGGACAACACCCUAUUGCUAUCCGACUAAUGAAGGGGCAUUGCUAAUGCCUUCUAAGCCGUAAUAUUCAUCAUGCAACCUGGGAUGUGUCCAGGGUAACUUUACAUUUAUCUUCACUGGGGGAUAAUGAUACGUUAUGCCUCAAAUUGCUAACUAAGAAAACAACAAACAAAAAAAACACUUCUGAUGUGUUAGCAUUGAUAUCACCAGAGAGGUCCUCUGUUCUCUCGGACCUUGAUAUCUAGUUCGUGAAAGAAUAGCCUGAUGGUUUCACAUUCACACUAACUAAACCAUGAUCUCUCACAACGAUAGCAUUCCCAUGUGUUAUGGAAGACAGCACCUAAUGUCCCUCAUUAAAAUGCUUGGAAUCAUAUUGAAAUGCUACAAGUGAGUUUCGGACUCCACCUGAAUGUAAAAAGUUGUUUUUCUCGACUUUACCUUUACAUCGCACUGUCUCCCUGUCUCCCAAAUACAAUUUUCA